RNAcentral lists this long non-coding RNA (962 nucleotides) under Sus scrofa (pig). Its description in RNAcentral is "lncRNA (ENSSSCG00015023547.1)". The record is from RNAcentral. Lineage: Eukaryota; Metazoa; Chordata; Mammalia; Artiodactyla; Suidae.
AGCAGUCACUGUGUGCGAAGAGGCUGUGCAGAGAGUCGUGCAGGGACCCACGUUCAGCACGCCACUCCCAAGCCUGCUGCUCUCCCGCUGAGUAAGAGCUUAAGGACGGGUGAUGCCGUGUGUCCAGGUGUGUUGGCCGGUGACGGUCCGCUUGACGGAAGCACCUCCAUUUGCCUGAGUAUCUGGUGUCUGGUCUGCCUCCAGAGCUGCUCUGCCCAGGCCUCCCUAUCAGACUCGGCGUCUACGCACCUCCGCACUCAGCAGGCCUGACCUGAGCCGACGGAGAGAAAGAGCCCCACGAUCGCCCUGUGAAGUCGGUACUGCCGAAGCUGCCUGAUGGCCAAGGAACCGAGGCUCAGCGAGGAGACGUGGCCGUGGUCACGGCGACAGAGCCAGCACGCUAACCUGGGCCUGUUGGGUUCAAUUCCUGUGCCCUCUUCCUGUUGCGCCGCAGAGGGGAGGCCAGGCGCUUAAACGAAGGCCCAGGGUAAGUAAGCAGAAGGCAGCCAGGCCUGGGGCCAGUGCGUGGCGCUGGGUCCCUCUGCUGGGGAAGGAGGACUCCCAAAGCCAGCUGCAGAGAGGACGUGGCUCCAUCCAGCUGUCCAGGGCCUGCAGCUAGAGUUGCAGUCACUGGGGUGGGGCCAUGCGGGGCACCCAAAGGAACAGUAGAGCAGCAGCCGCAAGGGAGGCUGAGGAGGGACCCAGGUCCCAGGGUGCUGAGCAGGGCACAGCCAGGCCACCUGAGGGAGCCAUCCCUUGGCACCUGGGUGACGAGAGCUUAGAAAUGUGCUGUCAUUCGCACGCACCACAUUUUUUGGCUUGUCUUCACUUAGACUAAUCUACGUAUCAAAUUGCAUAGGUAGAAAUUAAAAAGUAGACCUUCCAGGUUUGGGCUGAACGCGUUUCACAAAACACGGGUGGAAAUGAUGACACAUCGCAUCCCUGCUGCCCGCGUUGCCACC